RNAcentral lists this non-coding RNA (69 nucleotides) under marine eukaryotic metagenome. Its description in RNAcentral is "SAM riboswitch (alpha-proteobacteria)". It matches the Rfam family "Alpha-proteobacteria SAM riboswitch aptamer", at positions 10 to 74 of the family's 79-position model. From Rfam's summary of the family: This family is a riboswitch found predominantly in alpha-proteobacteria that binds S-adenosyl methionine (SAM). This SAM riboswitch is located upstream of the metA and metC genes in Agrobacterium tumefaciens, and other methionine and SAM biosynthesis genes in other alpha-proteobacteria. The record is from RNAcentral.
AACGCCGUGGCGAUUUGUUACCAGAUUGCGGGCCACGUUAAAUAUGCUGCUAAACGGUCAGGAAGAAAG